Molecule: long non-coding RNA, 1131 nt
Organism: Cyprinus carpio carpio
Lineage: Eukaryota; Metazoa; Chordata; Actinopteri; Cypriniformes; Cyprinidae
Source: Ensembl
AAGCAGUAUGGAGGAGAUUCAAGGUAUGCUGCUUUUGCUCAUGGUGUAUUGGUUUACUAAAGAAAUAAUAAAACCAAAUGGCGGAAAACAGACGAGCACUGAUAGUAAAGCGUAUUCAGAAAGCUCGUAAUUCUCGAUAUAAAAUGAGACAAUGUGUCUUAUCAGCUACUGCAGACAUCGACCGUGAGAUGGCUGGGACCAACGAGUGCCAUCGGGCAGAAAGAACAAGAUUGAUUUGUGAGUACUAUCGAACGCGUCGUGUUUUGCCAUCAGUUUGGGUACACAAUAGAACAACUGCAUGGUGGGACAGCGUGGUUUCUACUUUCACCGAAGCCCAGUGGAUAAAAAAUUUCCAGAUGUCUAAGGAUACUUUCUGUACCUCUGUCGUCGAUUGCAACCUUAACUGGAGAGACAAGACACCAACUACAGACUUGUGUACCCAUCCAAAAAAGAUUAGCCAAUGCACUGUGGAAACUAGCAACCAACUCAGAGUACAGAAGCAUCUCUCAUUUAUUUGGAGUCGGAGUUGCUACUGUGUGUCACUAUGUUCAUGAUUUCUGCUCAGCUGUUGGGAAGGUACUCAUGUAAGAAGUUAUUCAGUUACCAAACAGUGAAAAGUUGAAAGAAAUGGAUUCAUAUUUUGAAUGCAGAUGGGGGUUGCCACAGUGUGUAGUACUUCAACCGAAAGGGCUGGCAUUCAAUCAUCCUGCAGGCUGUUGUGGAUGGAAGGGGUCUUUUUUGGAAUGUCUUUGUUGGAGCACCAGGACGCCUGCAUGAUGCCAGAGUGCUGUGUUUGUCAGGUUUGUGGGGCCUAGUGGAUAGGGGAUUGUUACUACCUGAUGUAACAAAGAACAUUUGUGGACAUGGUGUGGGGUACUUUGUCCUUGGUGAUGCAGCCUAUCCUUUGAAGAGCUGGCUGAUGAAACCUUUUACCGACAACGGACAACUGACACCCCAAAAACUUGUGUACAACCAAAAAACAAGCAGAGCCAGGGUGGUGGUGGAGAAUGCUUUUGGCAGACUAAAGGGAAGAUGGAGGUUGGAUCUAAACUCUGCAGGACACCGGCCCUCCAGUGGGGGCACCUCUGGUAUAAAGAAUAAAUAAACCAGUCUUAUAUAAUAUGCAUGCAC